UCGAGAAUCAUUCACAAUGGGGGAAACCCUGAUGGUGCGACGCCGCGUGGGGGAAUGAAGGUCUUCGGAUUGUAAACCCCUGUCAUGUGGGAGCAAAUUAAAAAGAUAGUACCACAAGAGGAAGAGACGGCUAACUCUGUGCCAGCAGCCGCGGUAAUACAGAGGUCUCAAGCGUUGUUCGGAAUCACUGGGCGAAAAGCGUGCGUAGGCGGUUUCGUAAGUCGUGUGUGAAAGGCGGGGGCUCAACCCCCGGACUGCACAUGAUACUGCGAGACUAGAGUAAUGGAGGGGGAACCGGAAUUCUCGGUGUAGCAGUGAAAUGCGUAGAUAUCGAGAGGAACACUCGUGGCGAAGGCGGGUUCCUGGACAUUAACUGACGCUGAGGCACGAAGGCCAGGGGAGCGAAAGGG
RNAcentral lists this ribosomal RNA (410 nucleotides) under Acidobacteriota bacterium. RNAcentral's name for it is "Acidobacteria bacterium partial 16S ribosomal RNA". It matches the Rfam family "Bacterial small subunit ribosomal RNA", at positions 355 to 776 of the family's 1533-position model. The record is from RNAcentral. Lineage: Bacteria; Pseudomonadati; Acidobacteriota.